RNAcentral lists this ribosomal RNA (467 nucleotides) under uncultured bacterium. Its description in RNAcentral is "partial 16S ribosomal RNA". It matches the Rfam family "Bacterial small subunit ribosomal RNA", at positions 28 to 507 of the family's 1533-position model. The record is from RNAcentral.
GACGAACGCUGGCGGCGUGCUUAACACAUGCAAGUCGAACGGAAAGGCCUCUUUCGGGGGGUACUCGCGUGGCGAACGGGUGAGUAACACGUGAGUAACCUGCCCUUGACUUUGGGAUAACUUCAGGAAACUGGGGCUAAUACCGGCUAGGAGCUCCUGUUGCCUGGUGGGGGUUGGAAAGUUUCGGCGGUUGGGGAUGGACUCGCGGCGUAUCAGCUUGUUGGUGGGGUAGUGGCUUACCAAGGCUUUGACGGGUAGCCGGCCUGAGAGGGUGACCGGCCACAUUGGGACUGAGAUACGGCCCAGACUCCUACGGGAGGCAGAAGUGGGGAAUAUUGCACAAUGGGUGGAAGCCUGAUGCAGCAACGCCGUGUGCGGGAAGACGGCCUUCGGGUUGUAAACCGCUUUCGCUCAUGACGAAGCUUUGUGUGACGGUAGUGGGUAAAGAAGCACCGGCUAACUACGUG